CUGCUGGGUGGCGCCGGCUUCGCGCCGGAUCCCGCCGUGGUGGCGGGCCGUUCACAAGCGGAGGUGCUGGGAGAACCGCAGUUGAUUCUGCACGCCAAGGUCCGACUCGGGCUUGCAGGCAGUCUCUGGUUUCGAGCGAUCUGCUGCACAUCGGCACUGCGCCUCUGGCCAGACUGGUUUUCGGGGCCUUGAGAGGGCUCUGAACACAGGGCCUCCUGAAAAAGGCCACUGGAAGCCUGGAUGCUGAUGGCCGCGAGGUGGGUGGGACCUUCAGUCCAGCAGGGACACAGCCAGACCUCAAGAGGGGGUCAAGGGGUCGCGGGGACGGGGAGAAAGAAAAUUCAAUUUUUUUCUGUUCCUUCACCCUACAGUUUCUUGCGAACUCUCCUGGGAGCCAGAAGUCGAGGAAGUUCAGCUUGGGCUAUUAUUAGUUCAGGCAAACCGGCCUCCCCCUGGGGGACCAGGGUGGAAAAAAGCUGGAGCAGACCGGGUGGGAGAAGGUGGCUUGUCCACUGCAGACCUUCCCAGAAGCAGGUUUCCCUGUCCUCUUGCUGGAGCUCUAGUUUUACAUUUUUAGCUGUCUUCUCAGCACUUCUGCUUGGAUGGCCCAUUCGAAUUCAAGACGUCCACUUCUGUUCCAGGUUGCUCAGAAUGAAGUUAACUAUCUCCAGCAUGAGAGCCGUCUCUUCAGCACAAUUCAGGAGCAUGAUGGGUCUGGAAGGAACCCUUAAGAUUCUCCUAGGACAGCAAUUCCUUGCAAACUGUAGCGAGCACAAGAGAACGCAAUCUGAGCAGUGGAGUCAUCAGCAACUGCUGUGCUCAAAGCCAUCCUGGACAUUUCAGUCCUAGCCAGGCCCCAUCUGAAGGUGGGUGCAGGGAGAAACCCGGUGAGACCCGCAGCAGGUCUGCCUGGCUAGACCCAGUAAACCCACAGUAUUGUAACAAACAGUGCAUUGUUGUUU
Molecule: long non-coding RNA, 962 nt
Filed under: Chinchilla lanigera (long-tailed chinchilla)
Lineage: Eukaryota; Metazoa; Chordata; Mammalia; Rodentia; Chinchillidae
Description: lncRNA (ENSCLAG00000023233.1)
Source: RNAcentral